Long non-coding RNA from Xenopus tropicalis (tropical clawed frog), 1216 nucleotides. RefSeq lists it as uncharacterized. NCBI's taxonomy places the organism in Eukaryota, Metazoa, Chordata, Amphibia, Anura, Pipidae. The record is from RefSeq and is a predicted model, not a curated record. The transcript is spliced from 2 exons.
UCCUUUAAGAUCUGCUUGUUUGGUGAGGUUGCAAAAUGAGAAGAUCCUCUACCGAUAUGCCCACCUAUCCUUUUUGGCCCUAGCACCAAACAAUCAAAUCAAAACGGCUGGGCACCCUACCUACCAUUCUGUGUCCCACGUGUCCAUGGAUGGCCACAUUCUGUUUGUUUGGAGUGACAGCAUGACAGCAAUUGAAGAGAAGCAGCCGUUAUUCUUUCAUAACCCAUCUACCAACGCAUCAAGCACCCAACAACAUAUUAAAACGGUGGGUAUAUUUGUUGUUGGGGUAUUAACGAGCCAAUCCAAUGGGAAAAACAAACCUCCCCAAUUGAGAUCUGGCCCAUUAUCGGCUAGAUAUCGGUCAGGUAGACCCUUUGGGGGUUCCCUGUUCGCAAGCAUCAAGCACCCAACAACAUAUUGAAUCAGCAAAUUCAGUUUUGGUUUCAACAAGUCAUCGCUGAUCCCACUGGAUCACACAAUGGACUGUCAAAACUGGCUCCCAAGCUGACAUACAUGCACUGAUGAUUGGGCAUCAAAUUGGCCAAAUUAUCCAACUAAAUCUUGUAAUAUAUAUUGAAAUUAAAGGGAAUGUAAAAGAUUAAUGGUACUGUAGUCAUUACCACAGGCAAUCCCCAUUGAUUGCAUAUAUUCUCAGCAUUUGGAUAGAAAGAAAAGUAUUUGAUCAAAGUUUCGAAAAGUUACAUUAUGUGACAAAACCCUCUUGUUAUUAUUUAUCUUAUUACUACAGAAAUAUUUUUCUGUUGCAGUAAAAGUGGUCAAUAGGAAAAGCAGUUGUAGCAACAAUUAAUGAAUUAUUGAAGCACUUUGUAAGGUUAAAGGCUGAAAUGAAAGAAAAAUGAUACUGUCAGGAACUGUGUUGAUCUUAAAUAAUUAAGAAAAACAUUUCAGCCUGAGAAAACGUCCAUCCAGCACCGAGUGCUAUCCUCCCACCACCAGCUUGAAUACAAUUAAUGUUUAUUGCUUAAUGUUGCUGCUGGAUUUUGGCAGGUUUCUUUGUACCCAGGAGUUGCCAAAUAAAUGACAUUCAUCACUCCAUUUGGAAACCAUUAAUGAAUGGAUUGGACUGCCACUUGGCACUGUGCAUUUGUGAAGAAAAAAUGACACAAGAUGCCGUUUUAUGUCAGUGCAGAGGAAUCAUUUGAAUUUCUACCACCUGUAGGUCUCAAAUACUAAAAUAAAAUUAUCUCAUGGUCAA